Molecule: long non-coding RNA, 1897 nt
Organism: Manihot esculenta (cassava)
Lineage: Eukaryota; Viridiplantae; Streptophyta; Magnoliopsida; Malpighiales; Euphorbiaceae
Exons: 4
Source: RefSeq, a predicted model, not a curated record
UAAAAUGUUCAUUGAAAUCAAAAAACCUGAAUAUCCUUGAGUCCUUAACCCUUUCUUUUAUACGGGGUCCAAGCCAUGGUUGAGGGCACGUAUCAAAUCCAAACGAUCACUACUUGAUGUAAUUUUUGUAUCCAUAACUAUAUAAUCAAAAAAAAAAUUAAAACACAAAACAGACGGCAGAACAACAAAAACUAAGGAUACAUAAGAGAUAAAUCAGUAGCAAAAGACAAAGAUGCAAAGAUAAUGAAAUACUCAGUUGUACUUUUAAAAAGUAAAUCAUCCCUCUCACAGUCUCACUCAUAGCACUGAAUAAGUUCUCAAAAAAAAAAAAAAUCAAUGCAUUCCUCCAUAGAUUGCAUAACUUUAUAAUCAAAAAAAGAAGAAAUUAAAACACAAAACAGACUGCAGAACAACAAGAACUAAGGAUACAUAAGAGAUGCAAAAGCAGCAGACCUGAGGAAUUGGAGGAACCUGUGAUGCAUCAUGAGAACAUUAUGGAUUCACCGCUGCAAGUCACUUCACUAUUGCUAGCCAAUUCUGAGCCCUAAAUGGAGCCAUCAUCGGAGGCUGAACGCCCGUCUAACCUUCAUGUCCGGGAGCCAAUUCUGAGCCACAGAUGGAGUCUAUUCAUCUGGAGCCUGAUAACCACAUAAUAGUGCAUCCCUGGUGCAGGACAAUGUACCUCCGGUGCAGGACAGUGUACCUCUGGUGCGGACACGCAAAAUGAGGCGGCAAAUAGGUACUCCAAAGGCCUUUGAUGGCUACAAAGUUGAUAGUAUGGUCCAAAGGAUCAAGAUGCCGAGGAAGGAUGAGGACUGAUUUCGAAUUUAGAUUCAUUCUGCUGCGACUAUCUUGCACAAAUUUCAUUUGUGAUUCUUAUCUGGGCUGCGACCAGGAAUAUAACUUCACUGUUGAUGUCAAAGAAGCAGGCGGUCAAGACGAGGACAACGGGUUUUAGCUGCUGUACGAUAAAGGGAGAGUAAGCAUUGCUAUUGCUGCUUGUGUGGACAAUAGACCUAAACAAAAGCAGGGAAAAAGAAAGGGCAAGCCGCCUGUUCCAAAAGUCCUGAAGCCCGGUCAUUUUUAUUUGUGGUUAGGGAAAGGUUGUACAGCCUCCAAACUUUGACAAAGAAAAGGAAUACUUUCAAGAAGUUGAUGCUUUUGAGUUGCUGGAGGAGAGCCCCUCACCCAAAAACAUUGGUACAUGGGCCACUGGCAAUGGAACUAAAAAAAGGUGUCUGUAAUGCAUAUGCCAAUCUGCUUUAUGAUGGUUUGGGGAUAGUCAUCUAUCAUAUGCAGCCUUUUCCCUGUUUCUUCUGUUAGGGGAUUUUUACUACAGUUUGAUCCUGUGUCUGGAAAAGAAAAGUAAAAUUUUAAAUCUUUUUGGAUAAGAUGGAUUUUACAUUGCUGGAGAAUCAAAUUUGUUUGUAGUUACACUUUAUUAUCGCUAUUUUGGAGACAAUAUCAACAAAUAUGAUUCCAAAACUUGAGGAUGAUAUUCCAAAACUGCAAAAACUUUUGUUGGAUGAGGAGAGAGUGUUGGAGGAUAUUGUUGAGAAUUCAAAAGGUUGUGUCCUUUCCCUAGUGGUACACAACUGGAAGUUCUUUUUCAUUCUGUUUUUUCACAUUUUCUUCUUUUUUUUCAUUGCAUAUGAGUUCAUGGUCAACGAGUCCCACUCAGGCCUAGCUUCUGGAUCUUCCAAAGCUCCGAGGCUUUUCAUUAAAGAAAUGGUUAUGAGGAAUUUCAAACCUUACGCCGGCGAACAACGCGUUGGUCCUUUUCACAAGGUUUUCUCUUCAUUUUAGUUUCCCCAUCUUUACUUCUGUUUGCUUGGUUUCGUUUCUAGGAUCUGUUUUGGCUGCUGAGAAAUUGGAGGUGAAGAAGUGGAAUUCACUC